Non-coding RNA from Oryctolagus cuniculus (rabbit), 2382 nucleotides. NCBI's taxonomy places the organism in Eukaryota, Metazoa, Chordata, Mammalia, Lagomorpha, Leporidae. The record is from RefSeq and is a predicted model, not a curated record.
CUGAAGAAGUGGACAGAAGAGAGGUAUGGAAGGGAUACUGGAAGUGGACAGGGUGGGAUUGAGGAGGUAGAGUAGGACCAAGGGAAAGAUGAACACACACACACACACACACACAGAGGCCUGAAAGGGACAAGGAAAGCACCCUGAGGGUCAGCUGGACUGGGUGGCUGGAAUUUAGAGUGCAAGGCAAGGUGGGGGUAGGAGAAGGAAUUGCGUGGUGUCGAGUUUAUGUGGCAGGUGAAGGGAGCCAUUGAGUGUACUUGGCAGGGAGGGUAGCACACAAUCAGAUCCGUGUUCCAGCUGCCCUGACUGCUGUGUGGAAGACGGGGCUGAGCACACUUGGGGCAGCUCCUCCUACCUCAGAAGCCCUUGCUCUCCCAGCUCCCCGGAAAUGCAGUGGUGACAUCACAAGCCUGCUUCCCACACGCCAUGGACAACACCGUCAUCUGGACACAUCGUCCUCUGUGGUUGGCCAUUUCUGUUGUUGAGAGCAACUUUGCUCUUACUUCAUAGCCUUCGUGGAGGAAUGUGAGCACUGUGGACAGACCUGAUCCCCAAGCUUUGCCAUUCUUCCCAGCCGUCCUCCACAGAGGUGUGGGCAGGGGCUCACUCCGAUGCUCCCAUAUCUAUGAAAUGCUCUACUGAAUGAGGGUCCUCAACAAGCUCAUGGAAUCAUGGAAUUAAAACAUACUGCAAUUUGGCCCAGGAGAACCAAACUGCUAUGUGGUAAAAAAUCUUGUGCCAAGCCCUGUGCUACAUACUGGGUGUACAAAGCCCUGCCUUCCAGCCAGCUUUGCUAACCAGUAUUUCGAGGUGCUGAGAACUACAAAGACACGUGGACUGACAUUUCUUCAACCUGUGAAGAAGUGGAUAAAGGGUUUUAAUUAAGCUUCCAAGAGAGCUGCCUUGAAACAAUGAAUGAGAACAAUUUACAGUUCUCUCAACCUCCUGUUUCUCAUCUGUCUGAGUGAGUUGUGCAGAGUUAAGGAUAUUUUCGUGUAGAAGAAGAUGAGAUAUUUGGGGCUUGUUUACUUUUAAUCUUGGUUUCUAAACAUGGAAGCUUUUCCAGCAAAUCCAAUUAGAUGGUCCCCAUCACCCAGACUGGUAGAGACCAUCGAGUUGGUAAUAAAAUGUCCAGCCAGUUCAACAUGUUGAUGUGCUUUCAAGCCCAGAGGAAGGGUCUUCUCGAUCCAGGGCCUUAACAACACCUACCCAGGAAGGCCAAGGGCCCUGGCUCCGCAAGCCGGAUCUCAAGGUAUCUACAGGCCUUGAAGUCUGCCCUCUGGGGCUCCUGUUAAAUUCUUUACACUAGUAGAAAUUGUGUAGAGAUUUUGCUUUUUGACACAGAGAUGUGUCAUUGCUGGGAGAAGCAGGACCUUUUCUUUCCUCCGUCUGUGCUGUAAGGCAAAUUCUGAUGGGACAUAAAAACCCUCCAAACAUACAUCUUCCCCACCGGGAUGAAGAGUUCAAGAUGGCAGGCGGGACUGGCUGCACAAUGUACCAACCCACUUCUCAGGAGGAUGGCAACGCAGGACUCCUUAUGAAAAAGUGAGGGAGGCUUUCAAAAAGGCUGGAGCCCAGCAUGACACCAAGUGAGGGUCCUGUAGCGAGGGCAGAUGACAGAGCCGCCCUGCGGGUGCGUGGACCAAUGAAAAUGCUCCCUGGACUGGGCUCUGGGCAGGGUGUGGACCAAUGAAAAUGCUCCCUGGACUGGGCUCUGGGAGCCCAGGUUCUCCGUUUCUUCAUUAGAUGUUCACAUCAGGGGCCAGCACUGUGGCACAGCAGGUUAACGCCCUGGCCUGAAGCGCCGGCAUCUCAUAUGGCCGCUGGUUUGAGACCCAGCAGCUCCACUUCCAAUUCAGCUCUCUGCUGUGGCCUGGGAAAGCAGUAGAAGAUGGCCCAAGUCGUUGGGACCCUGUACUCACGUGGGAGACCCAGAAGAAGUUCCUGGCUCCUGGCUUCAGAUCAGCUCAGCUCUGACUGUUGCGGCCAUUUGGGGAAUGAACCUUUGGAUGAAAGACCUCUCUCCCUCUCUCUCUGCCUCACCUCUCUCUGUGUAACUCUUUCAAAUAAAUAAUAAAUCUUUAAAAAAAAAAAAAAAGAAGCUCACAUCAUGGUCACCCCUUCGAUAUGAAAGCUCCAUGCGUCUGAAACCUAGUUGUGUCCUACACUUGGGUCCAAAUGACCACAGUGGCAGCACAGAGCAGCCACCAGGCACCUGCCCGGCAGCUGUCUGCAUCUCCAUCGAUCAGGAGGUUUGGGCUGCUGCCUGGCCCUGUGAGCUGGUGACAUCAGCCCAGCCGUCCCUUCUCCUGUGACUACAAAGAGCACUUAUCAGGGCAAAGCGCACCCGUUAGCAAAGAUUCCGUAUCUCCAAAUAAA